RNAcentral lists this long non-coding RNA (324 nucleotides) under Ananas comosus (pineapple). RNAcentral's name for it is "long non-coding RNA (ACOM_LNC038168)". Lineage: Eukaryota; Viridiplantae; Streptophyta; Magnoliopsida; Poales; Bromeliaceae. The record is from RNAcentral.
UUUAAAAUUUGAAAUUUGAAAUUUGAAAUUUAAAAUCAAAAUUAAAAUUGAAUUUUAAAAUUUUAAAUUUUGAAAUUUAAAAUUUUAUGUUGAAAUUUAAAAUUUAAAAAUUGAUACAUUUUUGGGAGCCCAAAAUGGUGGAAUUUUUUUCCUUUGGUGAAAGUGGUUUGUCAGUUACUUCAUUUUUUAGAAUAUGGUAUAACUAUAUACUCUAAAAAUUACAUUAUUUUUUUUUUUUUCCAAACGCUUCAUAGGAUUAUUUUCCUAUCGGUGUAGUAUAGUUUAACUAUACUACGUUUUUAGAGGUAUCCAAACUGGCCUAAU